Molecule: long non-coding RNA, 487 nt
Organism: Oncorhynchus tshawytscha (Chinook salmon)
Lineage: Eukaryota; Metazoa; Chordata; Actinopteri; Salmoniformes; Salmonidae
Source: Ensembl
GUUGAGAGGAGGUGGUGGUGGUUGUGAGGAGGAGGUGGUGGUUGAGAGGAGGAGGUGGUGGUUGAGAGGAGGAGGAAGUGGUGGUGGUUGAGAGGAGGAGGUGGUGGUUGAGAGAAGGAGGUGGUGGUGAGGAGGGGAGGUGGUGGUGGUGGUUGAGAGAAGGUGGUGGUGGUUGUGAGGAGGAGGUGGUGGUGGUUGAGAGGAGGAGGUUGUGGUGGUGGUGGUUGAGAGAAGGUGGUGGCUGAGAGGAGGGAGGUGGUGGUGGUGGUUGAGAGGAGGUGGUGGUGGUGGUUGAGAGAAGGUGGUGGUGGUUGUGAGGAGGAGGUGGUGGUUGAGAGGAGGUGGUGGUGGUUGAGAGGAGGAGGAAGUGGUGGUGGUGGUUGAGAGGAGGAGGUGGUGGUUGAGAGAAGGAGGUGGUGGUUGAGAGAAGGAGGUGGUGGUGGUUGAGAGAAGGAGGUGGUGGUGGUUGAGAGGAGGAGGUGGUGGU